This 497-nucleotide ribosomal RNA is filed under the name uncultured bacterium. RNAcentral describes it as "partial 16S ribosomal RNA". It matches the Rfam family "Bacterial small subunit ribosomal RNA", at positions 28 to 507 of the family's 1533-position model. The record is from RNAcentral.
GAUGAACGCUGGCGGCGUGCCUAAUACAUGCAAGUCGAGCGAACGGACGAGAAGCUUGCUUCUCUGAUGUUAGCGGCGGACGGGUGAGUAACACGUGGAUAACCUACCUAUAAGACUGGGAUAACUUCGGGAAACCGGAGCUAAUACCGGAUGAUAUUUUGAACCGCAUGGUUCAAAAGUGAAAGACGGUCUUGCUGUCACUUAUAGAUGGAUCCGCGCUGCAUUAGCUAGUUGGUAAGGUAACGGCUUACCAAGGCAACGAUGCAUAGCCGACCUGAGAGUGUGAUCGGCCACACUGGAACUGAGACACGGUCCAGACUCCUACGGGAGGCAGCAGUAGGGAAUCUUCCGCAAUGGGCGAAAGCCUGACGGAGCAACGCCGCGUGAGUGAUGAAGGUCUUCGGAUCGUAAAACUCUGUUAUUAGGGAAGAACAUAUGUGUAAGUAACUGUGCACAUCUUGACGGUACCUAAUCAGAGAGCCACGGCUAACUACGUG